GGUGGCUCAGUGGUACAGCGCUUGCCUUGCAUGCAUGAGACCCUGGGUUCAAUUCCUCAGCACCA
This 65-nucleotide transfer RNA is filed under the name Dipodomys ordii (Ord's kangaroo rat). It matches the Rfam family "tRNA". From Rfam's summary of the family: Transfer RNA (tRNA) molecules are approximately 80 nucleotides in length. Lineage: Eukaryota; Metazoa; Chordata; Mammalia; Rodentia; Heteromyidae. The record is from Rfam by way of RNAcentral.